AACGAACGCUGGCGGCAUGCCUAGCACAUGCAAGUCGAACGAGACCUUCGGGUCUAGUGGCGCACGGGUGCGUAACGCGUGGGAACCUGCCCUUAGGUUCGGAAUAACUCCCCGAAAGGGGUGCUAAUACCGGAUAAUGUCUUCGGACCAAAGAUUUAUCGCCUUUGGAUGGGCCCGCGUUGGAUUAGCUAGUUGGUAGGGUAAAAGCCUACCAAGGCGACGAUCCAUAGCUGGUCUGAGAGGAUGAUCAGCCACACUGGGACUGAGACACGGCCCAGACUCCUACGGGAAGCAGCAGUGGGGAAUAUUGGACAAUGGGCGAAAGCCUGAUCCAGCAAUGCCGCGUGAGUGAUGAAGGCCUUAGGGUUGUAAAGCUCUUUUACCCGGGAUGAUAAUGACAGUACCGGGAGAAUAAGCGCCGGCUAACUCCGUG
This 433-nucleotide ribosomal RNA is filed under the name uncultured bacterium. RNAcentral's name for it is "partial 16S ribosomal RNA". It matches the Rfam family "Bacterial small subunit ribosomal RNA", at positions 29 to 507 of the family's 1533-position model. The record is from RNAcentral.